UGAGUAACCUGCUCUUAACUCUGGGAUAAGCCUGGGGAACUGGGUCUAAUACCGGAUAUGACUCCUCAUCGCAUGGUGGGGGGUGGAAAGCUUUAUUGUGGUUUUGGAUGGACUCGCGGCCUAUCAGCUAGUUGGUGAGGUAAUGGCUCACCAAGGCGACGACGGGUAGCCGGCCUGAGAGGGUGACCGGCCACACUGGGACUGAGACACGGCCCAGACUCCUACGGGAGGCAG
Molecule: ribosomal RNA, 234 nt
Filed under: uncultured bacterium
Lineage: Bacteria
Description: partial 16S ribosomal RNA
Rfam family: Bacterial small subunit ribosomal RNA
Source: RNAcentral